UGAAAAAAACAGAAAAAACCUCGUCAAAAUACCUAAAUUUGGCUGACAUUUAAGCACGGUUGCUCCGAAGCUGCUUCACGAGCUCUCUUCAGCCGCCUCGGCUCGGAGCGGCGCGGCGCAGGCUCCGCUCGCCCCUUGCCCUUCCCUCGCCGCGUCUUUCCCCGGUUUUCCUCCCGCGAGCGGAAGGAGAAACACGGAGCCGAGGUCUCGGCCGCCUGCUGCCGUCGAGCCCCCGCGGCGCCGGGAAUCCCGGUUCCUCGCCGAACCUCCGGCUCGCGGAGAGGAGAGGAGCCGCCGGCAGGGCCGGGCUCUUCGGGAACGCCGCCGGCGCCCUCCUCCUCCUCCUCGCCGCUUCCUCCGGCUCUUCUUAAGGUGCGGAUGAAUCCCGGGCCUCAUCCGGGCGGCCGGCGGGGCCGGCGCAGGCGGCGAGCCGGAGCGUUCCAGGUAGGCGCAGCCCCGCCGAGGUUAACAGAUGAGUUGCGAAACUUCCUGUUUUCUCCGUUUUUUAUCUCGAAACGGCCGCGGAGGAACCUCGCGGGCGGAGGUGCUGGGCGUCGAAGCGCCGCCGCCUUCCCGCCCUUCCGCUCCGGCCGGGAGCCGCCCGCGAUCCCCCCUGCUCCGCUCCGGUCCCUCGGCAUCCCGGCGGGAUCGGGCCCGGCGGUGGCUCCUCAUCUCUAUUUCACCUCUCCGCACGGAGUCAGGUCUCGGGGACGCGUCGCCGCGCCGGCGGCUCCCGGACCUCGGGAUUUUCCUUGCCCGUUGCCGGAACCGGCGCGUUUAGACCCGUUUUUUUACGCCUUCGGCGCGUCGACACCGCGGCCCCGACUCCCGCCUGGGGAAGCCCUUUUCCCUCCCUGCCGCCGGAAGUGGGGCGAGAGCCGUGCGCGGAGGCGCUCCUGGAUUUGCCGUUUUUCCCCUCGAUUUCAGGGCUGCCGGUGGGAGGAUUUUCUCGUGCCGGAGGAGGGAAAAAAAACCCAACCGGCCGGCAGCAAGCACCUUUCCGGAACAAUUAGGGUAGGAGGCCGCGCGGCUUCAUCUACUGACCUAGUGCCGGCGGCUCCGGCUCCGUCGGGAAGCGCCUUUUCCGCGGUGCUCCCGCGCGUUCUAAGGGCGGACGGCGCCCGCCGGAGCGGGCAGGGACCCAGGAAUCCUGCAGCCGCCGCCUUGGACAAGCAGGGCAGGUCCCGCGCGAUCCCGCCGGGAGCCGUUGGCACCGCUCCGAAUUUUUUUUUGUUUGUUUUUCCUCGCAGCUCUUCCGGGAAGUGCGGAUAAUGAAGGUCCUGAACCACCCCAACAUAGGUGAGUGGCGGCGGCGGUGGUGGUGGCGGGUGGCAGGGAGGGGGCGCGCGGCCCCCCCAUCCGUCCGUCUGUCCCCCCCCGGCGGCCCCUGCAGCCCCCCUCGGCCUCUUGCAGUGAAGCUCUUCGAGGUGAUCGAGACGGAGAAGACGCUGUACCUCGUCAUGGAGUACGCCAGCGG
Molecule: long non-coding RNA, 1477 nt
Filed under: Apteryx haastii (Great spotted kiwi)
Lineage: Eukaryota; Metazoa; Chordata; Aves; Apterygiformes; Apterygidae
Description: lncRNA (ENSAHAG00000003737.1)
Source: RNAcentral